UGGCGACUGGUUGUUUGAGCGGCCUCGUAUGCUGGUAGGGGAGCGCGGCGGGCUUCCCCUGCUGCUUGGGGUUGCUCUUCCGCAGGCUUCCCGCCGCCGCCUGGAUGGCUCUGGUUCCUAUGAGGAACUCCAGUCGUAAACAAUGGUUAUGUUUAGAAGAAAGGAAAUGCAGGGCCUGCGCUGGAUCAUGGACAUGGAAGUGCUGCUUCGCCUAUCUAGGUCAUGUCUGGAGAUGGCAAGAUUUGUUCUGCUGUCCUCACCAGCCUCAGCCUUCAGGAGAGAAACUUGAAGCUUCAGUUUUUCCCUCCAUGCUGGUUUCCUCUGAAGAAUUUCUUCCUCAGUGCUUGGGUGGUGAGGCUCGAUGCUUACUGGGAAAGUCAUCUGUGGUUGCUGCAGCUGCUGAUCUUCAUUGCUGGGACACUUCAUGUACAGGAGGGAGUUUGGAUCAACCUGCAAGAACCAGCCCUUUCCAAAGACCGGAGCUGGGAAACACUAGAGAUGGAGCUGGGCUGCUCAGGCAGUCACGUACAGCCAGGGACCACCUUGCAUUCUUGCUGGUGACGACGUAG
RNAcentral lists this long non-coding RNA (569 nucleotides) under Dromaius novaehollandiae (emu). RNAcentral describes it as "lncRNA (ENSDNVG00000015316.1)". The record is from RNAcentral. Lineage: Eukaryota; Metazoa; Chordata; Aves; Casuariiformes; Dromaiidae.